GAAGCAGAUAAGCAUUUAGUUGUGGAGAAGAAAAAGCAAAGAGGAUUGACAUCAUAAUGGAGACAAAGAAAAGUACAAAGAGGUAGAAUAUUAAAUCCAAAAACAUCAACAACAAUAAUUUAUUAUAUGGGGAUAACCUAAUCUGAUAGUGUUUGAACUUUUGAAAACCAAUCAACAACGGCUAAGUUCGUCAGGCUUGCAACUUCACCUUCUCCUAUAUAAACAUAGAUAGAUAUACAUAUAAGUAGGAGGAUUCAAGAUCAAGAUUGAGAGUGUAGUUAGAUAGAAAGAGAGAGAGAUGGCUAUGUGGGAUUGGGAAAAGAUGAUUCAGGUAAAAGGGGAGGCUUGUUGUGGAUCUUCCGCUGUUGGGUGCAAUAACAAGCGCUUCAUCUGAUACUCCUUCCGUCAACAGCAGCACACCAAAUCAGUUCAGAAGAUUCUUGCUUGUCAAUGGACUCGGUCGUACACAUUCUACGUGAGCUUUUGACUCUAAUAGCAGCGGCAAAACAUCCUAGGUGAUCAAAGAGAAGAAGCCCAGAAGACAGAGGACAAGAUUGGAAUAAUUUAUGGGGAAAUUGUGGAUCUCAUGUAACAUUUCUCCAAUUAAGCUUUUCUUCUUUAUUUCCUCUUUACUUUAAUGUUUGUUGCUGAUAUUUGUUGUCAUUACAACCAUGUGCGGCCAAACUUCUGUAGACCUUACAGAUUUAUGAACCUUUAUGCAUGAUUCGUCGUUAA
This is a long non-coding RNA of Prosopis cineraria, 735 nucleotides long. RefSeq lists it as uncharacterized. NCBI's taxonomy places the organism in Eukaryota, Viridiplantae, Streptophyta, Magnoliopsida, Fabales, Fabaceae. The record is from RefSeq and is a predicted model, not a curated record. The transcript is spliced from 2 exons.